GCAUAUCAAUAAGCGGAGGAAAAGAAACCAACAGGGAUUGCCCUAGUAACGGCGAGUGAAGCGGCAACAGCUCAAAUUUGAAAUCUGGCUUCGGCCCGAGUUGUAAUUUGCAGAGGAUGUUUCUGGCGCGGUGCCUUCCGAGUUCCCUGGAACGGGACGCCACAGAGGGUGAGAGCCCCGUAUGGUUGGACACCAAGCCUGUGUGAAACUCCUUCGACGAGUCGAGUAGUUUGGGAAUGCUGCUCAAAAUGGGAGGUAAAUCUCUUCUAAAGCUAAAUACCGGCCAGAGACCGAUAGCGCACAAGUAGAGUGAUCGAAAGAUGAAAAGCACCUUGAAAAGGGGGUUAAACAGUACGUGAAAUUGUUGAAAGGGAAGCACUUGUGACCAGACUUGUGCCGGGCGGUUCAUCCGGGGUUCUCCCCGGUGCACUCCGCCCGGUAUAGGCCAGCAUCGGUUCUUUCUGGGGGAUAAGAACGGUGGGAACGUGGCCCUCCCUCGGGAGGGUGUUAUAGCCCGCCGUACGAUACCCUGGAGGGGACCGAGGUUCGCGCUCCGCAAGGAUGCUGGCGUAAUGGUCACCAGUGACCCGUCUUGAAACACGGACCAAGGAGUCGUCCAUUAGAGCGAGCGUUUGGGUGUCAAACCCGCACGCGUAAUGAAAGUGAAAUUAGGUGAGAGCUUCGGCGCAUCAUCGACCGAUCCUGAUGUUCUCGGAUGGAUUUGAGUAAGAGUUUUAACGGACGGACCCGAAAGACAGUGAACUAUGCUUGUAUAGGGUGAAGCCAGAGGAAACUCUGGUGGAGGCUCGCAGCGGUUCUGACGUGCAAAUCGAUCGUCAAAUAUGAGCAUGGGGGCGAAAGACUAAUCGAACUGUCUAGUAGCUGGUUACCGCCGA
RNAcentral lists this ribosomal RNA (896 nucleotides) under Amphiporthe raveneliana. RNAcentral describes it as "LSU rRNA". It matches the Rfam family "Eukaryotic large subunit ribosomal RNA", at positions 38 to 964 of the family's 3401-position model. The record is from RNAcentral. Lineage: Eukaryota; Fungi; Ascomycota; Sordariomycetes; Diaporthales; Gnomoniaceae.